This 223-nucleotide ribosomal RNA is filed under the name uncultured bacterium. Its description in RNAcentral is "partial 16S ribosomal RNA". It matches the Rfam family "Bacterial small subunit ribosomal RNA", at positions 1280 to 1500 of the family's 1533-position model. The record is from RNAcentral.
AGCCAUUCUCAGUUCGGAUUGUAGGCUGAAACUCGCCUACAUGAAGCUGGAGUUACUAGUAAUCGCAGAUCAGAAUGCUGCGGUGAAUGCGUUCCCGGGUCUUGUACACACCGCCCGUCACACCACGGAAGUUGGGGGCGCCCGAAGCCACUUAGCUAACCCUUUUGGGAAGCGAGUGUCGAAGGUGAAAUCAAUAACUGGGGUGAAGUCGUAACAAGGUACC